UUGGAGGGCAAGUCUGGUGCCAGCAGCCGCGGUAAUUCCAGCUCCAAUAGCGUAUAUUAAAGUUGUUGCAGUUAAAAAGCUCGUAGUUGAAUUUCGGGAUCAAUAUGUCGGUCGUGCCUUCGGUACGUACUGGUAUCAUUGGUCUCUCCUUUCUGACGAACCAUGAUGUCAUUAAUUUGGUGUUAUGGGGAGUUAGGACUGUUACUUUGAAAAAUUAGAGUGUUUAAAGCAGGCUUUAGCUUGAAUACAUUAGCAUGGAAUAAUGAAAUAGGACGUUCGAACCUAUUUUGUUGGUUUCUAGGAUCAACGUAAUGAUUAAUAGGGAUAGUUGGGGGCAUUAGUAUUCAAUUGUCAGAGGUGAAAUUCUUGGAUUUAUUGAAGACUAACUACUGCGGAAGCAUUUGCCAAGGAUGUUUUCAUUAAUCAAGAACGAAAGUUAGGGGAUCGAAGACGAUCAGAUACCGUCGUAGUCUUAACCAUAAACUAUAGCCGACUAGGGAUCGGAUGAUGUUAAUUUUUAAUGAC
This 525-nucleotide ribosomal RNA is filed under the name uncultured Glomeromycotina. Its description in RNAcentral is "SSU rRNA". It matches the Rfam family "Eukaryotic small subunit ribosomal RNA", at positions 548 to 1075 of the family's 1831-position model. The record is from RNAcentral. Lineage: Eukaryota; Fungi; Glomeromycota.